Molecule: non-coding RNA, 121 nt
Organism: Brachypodium distachyon (stiff brome)
Lineage: Eukaryota; Viridiplantae; Streptophyta; Magnoliopsida; Poales; Poaceae
Source: RefSeq, marked provisional
GUGUGUCUGGAUUCUGGAACAGUUUCAGCUCCACGGACUUGGUGAAGCUGAUUACUCAUAGCUUCAUAUGAAUGACUAUCUCCACCAAAUCUGUGGAGUUGGAGUGAUCCCAAACACAUCC